RNAcentral lists this ribosomal RNA (460 nucleotides) under uncultured bacterium. Its description in RNAcentral is "partial 16S ribosomal RNA". It matches the Rfam family "Bacterial small subunit ribosomal RNA", at positions 338 to 795 of the family's 1533-position model. The record is from RNAcentral.
CCUACGGGAGGCAGCAGUGAGGAAUAUUGGUCAAUGGACGAGAGUCUGAACCAGCGACGCAGCGUGAAGGAUGGCUGCCCUCUGGGUUGUAAUCUUCUUUUAUAUGGGAAUAAAAUGUUCCACGUGUGGGAUUUUGUAUGUACCAUAUGAAUAAAGAUCGGCUAACUCCGUGCCAGCAGCCGCGGUAAUACGGAGGAUCCGAGCGUUAUCCGGAUUGAUUGGGUUGAAAGGGAGCGGAGAUGGGUUGUUAAGUCAGUUGUGAAAGUUUGCGGCUCAACCGUAAAAUUGCAAUUGAUACUGGAAGGUGGGAGUACAGUUGAGGUAGGCGGAAUUCGUGGUGUAGCGGUGAAAUGCUUAGAUAUUACGAAGAACUCCGAUUGCGAAGGCAGCUUACUAAACUGCCACUGACAUUGAUGCUCGAAAGUGUGGGGAGCAAACAGGAUUAGAUACCCCAGUAGUC